UACGAAGGGGGCUAGCGUUGCUCGGAAUCACUGGGCGUAAAGCGCACGUAGGUGGGUCGGUAAGUUGAGGGUGAAAUCCCAGGGCUCAACCCUGGAACUGCCUUCAAUACUGGCGACCUUCGAGUCCGGGAGAGGUGAGUGGAACUGCGAGUGUAGAGGUGAAGUUCGUAGAUAUUCGCAAGAACACCAGUGGCGAAGGCGGCUCACUGGCCCGGUACUGACACUGAGGUGCGAAAGCGUGGGGAGCAAACAGG
Molecule: ribosomal RNA, 254 nt
Filed under: uncultured bacterium
Lineage: Bacteria
Description: partial 16S ribosomal RNA
Rfam family: Bacterial small subunit ribosomal RNA
Source: RNAcentral